RNAcentral lists this ribosomal RNA (490 nucleotides) under uncultured bacterium. Its description in RNAcentral is "partial 16S ribosomal RNA". It matches the Rfam family "Bacterial small subunit ribosomal RNA", at positions 28 to 507 of the family's 1533-position model. The record is from RNAcentral.
GAUGAACGCUAGCUACAGGCUUAACACAUGCAAGUCGCGGGGCAGCAUGGGGAUUGCUUGCAAUCCCCGAUGGCGACCGGCGCACGGGUGAGUAACGCGUAUUCAACCUGCCCUUCACCACGGGAUAACCCGGCGAAAGUCGGACUAAUACCGUAUGUUGUCCAUUGACGGCAUCCGAUUUGGACGAAAGGCUUGGCGGUGAGGGAUGGGGAUGCGUCCGAUUAGCCAGACGGCGGGGUAACGGCCCACCGUGGCUACGAUCGGUAGGGGUUCUGAGAGGAAGGUCCCCCACACUGGAACUGAGACACGGUCCAGACUCCUACGGGAGGCAGCAGUGAGGAAUAUUGGUCAAUGGGCGUAAGCCUGAACCAGCCAAGUAGCGUGCAGGAUGACGGCCCUAUGGGUUGUAAACUGCUUUUAUGCGGGGAUAAAGUGGCCCACGUGUGGGCUUUUGCAGGUACCGCAUGAAUAAGGACCGGCUAAUUCCGUG